GGUGAACGCUGGCGGCGUGCCUAACACAUGCAAGUCGAUCGGAGCAGCAAUGCUUAGAGGCGAACGGGUGAGGAAAACGUAGUAACCAACCUUUAGACUGGGAUAGCCACUGGAAACGGUGGGUAAUACCGGAUAAGCUCGAGAGAGGAAAGGCAGAGAAGCGCUAAAGGACCGGAACCUGCGCCCAUCAGAUAGUUGGUGAGGUAAAGGCUUACCAAGUCAAAGACGGGAAACCGACGUGAGAGCGUGUACGGUCACAAGGGCACUGAGAGACGGGCCCUACUCCUACGGGAGGCAGCAGUGGGGAAUAUUGGACAAUGGGCGAAAGCCUGAUCCAGCAAUGCCGCGUGAGUGAUGAAGGCCUUAGGGUUGUAAAGCUCUUUUACCAGGGAUGAUAAUGACAGUACCUGGAGAAUAAGCUCCGGCUAACUCCGUG
RNAcentral lists this ribosomal RNA (436 nucleotides) under uncultured bacterium. Its description in RNAcentral is "bacterial SSU rRNA". It matches the Rfam family "Bacterial small subunit ribosomal RNA", at positions 28 to 507 of the family's 1533-position model. The record is from RNAcentral.